This 484-nucleotide ribosomal RNA is filed under the name uncultured bacterium. RNAcentral's name for it is "partial 16S ribosomal RNA". It matches the Rfam family "Bacterial small subunit ribosomal RNA", at positions 29 to 523 of the family's 1533-position model. The record is from RNAcentral.
AUUGAACGCUGGCGGCAUGCCUUACACAUGCAAGUCGAACGGCAGCACGGGUGCUUGCUCUGGUGAAUUGGUGGCGAACGGGUGAGUAACACGUGAGUAACCUGCCCUUGACUCUGGGAUAACUGCGGGAAACUGUAGCUAAUACCGGAUACGACCCUCGGAGGCAUCUCCUGGGGGUGGAAAGAAUUUCGGUCAAGGAUGGACUCGCGGCCUAUCAGCUAGUUGGUGAGGUAAAGGCUCACCAAGGCGACGACGGGUAGCCGGCCUGAGAGGGUGACCGGCCACACUGGGACUGAGACACGGCCCAGACUCCUACGGGAGGCAGCAGUGGGGAAUAUUGCACAAUGGGCGCAAGCCUGAUGCAGCGACACCGCGUGAGGGAUGACGGCCUUCGGGUUGUAAACCUCUUUUAGCAGGGAAGAAGCGAAAGUGACGGUACCUGCAGAAAAAGCGCCGGCUAACUACGUGCCAGCCGCCGCCGUAA